GCUUGUCUCAAAGAUUAAGCCAUGCACGUCUAAGUAUAAAUCUUUUACUUUGAAACUGCGAAUGGCUCAUUAUAUCAGUUCUAAUUUAUUUGAUAGUCCCUUACUACUUGGAUACCCGUAGUAAUUCUAGAGCUAAUACAUGCGUCAAUACCCUUUAUUGGGUAGUAUUUAUUAGAUGGAAACCAACCCCUUUGGGGUGAUGUGGUGAUUCAUAAUAAGCUUGCGGAUCGCACGGUUUGUUCCGGUGAUGGAUCAUUCAAGUUUCUGCCCUAUCAGCUUUGGAUGGUAGGGUAUUGGCCUACCAUGGCUUUAACGGGUAACGGAGGAUUAGGGUUUGAUUCCGGAGAGGGGGCCUGAGAGAUGGCCACCACAUCCAAGGAAGGCAGCAGG
Molecule: ribosomal RNA, 390 nt
Filed under: Cocconeis littoralis
Lineage: Eukaryota; Bacillariophyta; Bacillariophyceae; Cocconeidales; Cocconeidaceae
Description: partial small subunit ribosomal RNA
Rfam family: Eukaryotic small subunit ribosomal RNA
Source: RNAcentral